UACGUAGGGUGCGAGCGUUGUCCGGAAUUAUUGGGCGUAAAGGGCUCGUAGGCGGUUUGUCGCGUCGGGAGUGAAAACGCCGUGCUUAACACGGCGCUUGCUUUCGAUACGGGCAGACUAGAGGUAUUCAGGGGAGAACGGAAUUCCUGGUGUAGCGGUGAAAUGCGCAGAUAUCAGGAGGAACACCGGUGGCGAAGGCGGUUCUCUGGGAAUGACCUGACGCUGAGGAGCGAAAGUGCGGGGAGCGAACAGG
RNAcentral lists this ribosomal RNA (253 nucleotides) under uncultured bacterium. RNAcentral describes it as "partial 16S ribosomal RNA". It matches the Rfam family "Bacterial small subunit ribosomal RNA", at positions 524 to 776 of the family's 1533-position model. The record is from RNAcentral.